RNAcentral lists this long non-coding RNA (3374 nucleotides) under Pelobates cultripes (western spadefoot toad). The record is from RNAcentral. Lineage: Eukaryota; Metazoa; Chordata; Amphibia; Anura; Pelobatidae.
CAGCAUACUUAAAAAUAUAAAACCUUAAGAAAAAAAAAAAAGGGAAUAUUCACUUAAAAAAAAAAAAUACAGUUAACUAGUUUUUGCAUACAAAGAAUAAUAAAUGUUAAGACUAUUGAAGUGGCUACCAAGUAUACAUGCUACUACUAGAAUAUGUAAAGCGACAAAAUCAUACAUAAGGCCGCAGGCUGAGGCAAAGAAAAAGAAAGUCCAUGGUUUCUUUCCAGUGCAAUGGAAGACAUCAAGGCAUCCAGCUGACCAAGUUUCAGAUAAAAAAAAAAAAAUGGGAAUAAAAAAAUAAUCCUACCCCUCCCCAUAACGCAAAUUUAUCAGUCAAUGCAGGGGGCGGAUUCUAACAAAGUCUGCUUUUUUUCCAUUGGUUUGUUUUAUUACUGUAAAAUCUUUUUGUAUUACCAUACUUAGCAGUAUCUUCAAAAAUCCAUUGUUGCAAGUAUAAAAGGCGCUUAACCAUCUGUUCUUGAAAGGGUGUCUGGGAAUCCUAUUUCUCUACUUGAAAAAGGUUGAGACAGAAUUAUAGAUUAGUCUGCAAGGAGGAUAUUUAUUUAAAACAGACAAUACAUAUUCUAGUCCAUGCUGCUAGUAAAAGGUUCAUCACGCCACAGUCUCAGUUGCUUUAAGACCUACAAAAAGCCUGAUUUAGUUGGAUACAACACUAAACCUCAAAACAGAAAAUUUGUAUAUAUUGUGAAUAGAAGGCAGUUCUGGGACUGUUACCAGGUCACACUAGUGUGCCUUUUCUUUUAUAUGGAGAUAAUGCUGGUAGCUGAAGGCAAUUACCAAUCUAUAAGUUUCCCUGGGGCUGGUUGGAUGGGAUGGAGGAUACAUAGUUUACACAUGCAAGCCAGUCAGAACUCUCAUACUUCACAGUCCUGCAUUUGUUAAUUUUAAUACCAAGACCGGUCUAAACAAAAUUUAAAUUCCUGGCUAUAAGAGAAAGCAUCACAAAUCUGAGCCAUGGCAAACCUUAACUAGCAACACAGUUAAUAGUGAAAUGUGCACAGACAAAAGAAAAUAAAAAAAAAUAUAAUGAAUAAUUUCCACUAUUGGGGAUAAAGAAGAAAGGAGUGGAAAAACCAAACACCCGUGUGUGAUUCUACAACACCCUUAAGUGACCUAGAUGUUGCUACAGGUGGGCACAAACUUCCCCCAUAUUAAAAUGAAAAGACCGAGUUCAGGGCAGAUGAGCAGGAGCUUCACCUUAAUUAAAUGCAGUUAUGAAAUUACUGCAAAUUCUCAUCAGUUCUGGGGUUUCUCCUCUUAACUGAACUGUGCAGUAUUUGCAGAGGUUUCCUCAAAAGGCCUAGUCUUGCAUCAGUAAACUUAGUUUUCCUGUUGAGAUAUCAAGACAAAUUAAGAAAGAAAAAAAAAAAGAAAAAAUUUGCAUUGCAUCUUUGGGUAUUGUCCAUACAAAAAGGUUUCAUUUAUUAUUAAAAAAAAAUUAAAAAAAAACACAAACAAAAAACAAACGUCCAAUUACAGCAGAUCAAAUAAAUGGAUCAGUUUACUUUAGGGCUUUUCUUAUUGGUGCCAAUAUAAACAUCUAUGACCCAAAAUCAAGUGAUUUGGGAUCUUAGAGUACCUUUUAAGCAACUUCCUGGUUUGUUGAAAUUUUACUAAAGUAGUUCAAACGUGAUUGCAGUUUAUUAUUGUAGUGUGAUUUAAUUCAAUUAUUGUUUACAGUAUUCCCCCAAGCACAUUGGACAAACCUGGAUGGUUCCUUUAGAAACCGCUUUUUAUCUAACAAAUUAUAUAUUACUAAUCUUACAAACAAUGAAUUUUAGAAUUUUACUGUUUAAGACAAAUUGAUAUGAAUAUCUAGCAUAAAAAAAAAUAAAAAUAAAAGAUCCUUAGGAGCCACAUGGAUCAAAUACACUCUAGAACGAAUGUAUGAAGUUAUCCUUUUUUUUUCCGUUCUAGAAGAAACCAUCCCCCAAAAAAAAAACCCCCAAAAAACCAAUUAUGCAAAUACAAAGCUAAAGUCAUGAUUACAGAUAGUUUCACUUAAAGGGACACUAUCACCAGAACCACUUCAGCUUAAUAUUGUUGUUCUGGAGUCUAGCCUGUCUCUGCAGAAUUUCCAAUAUAAAACACUGCCUUUCCAGAGGAAAGACAGUGUUUACAUUGCUGGCUAGUAACACCUCUAGUGACAGCCAGAUGGCCAAUAGAGGUGCUUCCUAGUCCAGCAAUGGUGUUCAGUGUCUCCACUGUCUGCAUGGAGAUGCUGAAUGUUCUCCAUAGAAAUGCAUUGAUUCAAUGCAUUAAUGUAAGGAAAUGCUGAUUGGCGCAGUCUUGUCGCACGUGCGCAAAAAAGACUCCCAAUGCUUUCCUACUGUAAAGCACUGGAUUUGUUGAGAUCAAGACUAAUGAUCUCCCUCAUCGAGGCAGGACCAGCAGCGAAGAAAAAGACAAGUUUAAAUACCUUUUCAGAGAGACCUGAGGGUGGUGGGGGGGAUGGGUGGAGAGCUAAACAGUUUUACACUAUAGUGUUAGGAAUACAUGUUUGUAUUCCUGACACUAGUAUUCCUUUAAGCAAAAUGGAGAGCCAGCUUUUAAACAAUGUUGCUUUAGCAUGCCCAUAACAAGCCAGCACAUAGUAUGUAGAUAGUGUCUUAAACACUGCAUUUCAUAGUGCAAAAGACAUUUCCAACAAUUGACCAGACAGUCAACUGGUAAACCAUGCCUUAACACGCAUACACAUAUAAACUGACAUUAAUGGUGUCAACAAUACCUACUUUGGACAUCUGCAGCCACUAAACAUCUAUUAAUUUAAAUAAAACCACUUAACGGACAUUAUACACUACAAACAAAAUCUGUACAUUAUCAUUUACAUUCUUCAGAACAUUAUUAAUGUUCUUGAAAGAGGCAUUCCGAUAGUUUAAUCCAUAAAUAACUUUAGAUAAAAAAUAAAAGUUAAAAAGGGAAAGUUGUUGUGAUAUCUUAAUAUAAAAGUUUAAAUAUUGCAGUUUGUUAUAAGAGUACACAUAGAUAAAAUACACAUGAUAGAUCUUCAAGAAUCUUUCCGUUCAUUAUGAAUCAUACAGUUUGCAGAUUGCAAACAACACUCUUCAUUUUUUUUAAAGGAUAAGGUUAGAGAAUAAGAAUAUGUUAAACUAAAUGGCUUUAACUGAAUGAUGCACAUUACGGUAGCUGAAUGUAUGCUGUAUAGAACUGCAAAUACAAAAUAAGCAGGACAUUCCAUACUAGCAUAGUAUAUUGCAAUACUUAAGGGGGUUAAAGUCAGUAUUGGAAAAUACUUACAUUUGCUAGAACAAUGUACAGAUAUUUUUUAAGUUUGUGAAGUACCCAUAAAAAGGCUCAGUUUACUUCCACCCCCCUUAAGAAAUUAAAAAAAA